CCUACGGGUGGCAGCAGUGAGGAAUAUUGGUCAAUGGGCGCAAGCCUGAACCAGCCACGCCGCGUGCAGGAAGACGGCCCUAUGGGUUGUAAACUACUUUUGUAAGGGACUAAAGUGAGGUACGCGUGGCUGUCUGCACGUACUGUAUGAAUAAGGACAGGCUAACUCCGUGCUAGCAGCCGCGGUAAUACGGAGGGUACAAGGGUUAUCCGGAUUUAUUGGGUUUAAAGGGUGCGUAGGUGGGUGGUUAAGUUAGAGUUGAAAGUCUGAGGCUCAACUUGGGAGUUGCAUUUGAUACUGUAGGUCUAGAGGGCAGUAGCGGUAGGCGGAAUUCGUGGUGUAGCGGUGAAAUGCGUAGAUAUCAGGAAGAACACCGGUUGCGAAGGCGGCCUGCUAAGCUGCCACUGACGUUGAGGCUCGAAAGUGUGGGGAGCAAACAGGAUUAGAUACCCGAGUAGUC
This 460-nucleotide ribosomal RNA is filed under the name uncultured bacterium. Its description in RNAcentral is "partial 16S ribosomal RNA". It matches the Rfam family "Bacterial small subunit ribosomal RNA", at positions 338 to 795 of the family's 1533-position model. The record is from RNAcentral.